UACGUACGAGGCGAGCGUUAUCCGGAAUUACUGGGCGUAAAGCGCGCGCAGGCGGACCAUUAAGUUGGGCGUGAAAUCUCCCGGCCUAACUGGGAGGGGUCGCCCAAGACUGGUGGUCUUGAGGACAGCAGAGGUGGGUGGAAUUCCUGGUGUAGUGGUGAAAUGCGUAGAGAUCAGGAGGAACACCGGUGGUGAAGGCGGCCCACUGGGCUGUCACUGACGCUGAGGCGCGAAAGCUCGGGGAGCGAACGGG
This 253-nucleotide ribosomal RNA is filed under the name uncultured bacterium. RNAcentral describes it as "partial 16S ribosomal RNA". It matches the Rfam family "Bacterial small subunit ribosomal RNA", at positions 524 to 776 of the family's 1533-position model. The record is from RNAcentral.